AUAAAAUUUUAUUCUAGUUUUAAUUGUAAUUGCUUUAUAAUGGGUUUAAUAUGUAAGUAUUUGCUUGAUUUGGUAUUUAUUUAAAUAAUAAAUACUAUUUUUUAUUCGCAGUUCUUAAUUUUAUAUAUUUAAUUACUUAAGAUAUAUUUAAUUAUAUAAUGAUUAGCAAAAAUUGUGCCAGCAGCUGCGGUUAUACAAUUAAUCAAAGUGAUUAUUAUUAGGAAUUUAUUAUUUUUAAUGAUUUUGUCUUUAAUAUGUAAUUCUUUAGGUGAAAUUUGAGUUUUAUAUUUAUUAGAUUGGUUGGAAAUUAUAAGAAAUUUUUUAUUUUAAACUAGGAUUAGAUACCCUAUUAUUGAAAAUGUAAAUUUUAUUCUUAAUACUAUAAGUUAAGAUCUUUAAAUUGAAAGAAUUUGACGGUAAUUUUAAUCAUUUUAGAGGAACCUGUUCUGUAAUUGAUAAUCCACGAUGAAUUUUACCUUAAUUAUUUAUUUGUAUAUCUCUGUUUGAUUGAAUGUUUUAUUAGAAUUAUUUUCUGUUAUUUUUGUUUGAAAUAUAUGUCAGGUCAAGGUGCAGUUAUAUUAAGGUUUGAAAUGGGUUACAUUUAAUUUUAUAAUUAUUGGAUUAAAUUAUUUAUUUAAUUUAUGAAAUUGGAUUUAAUUGUAAUGUUUAAAAUAUAUUAUUCAUGAUAUAUGUUCUUGAUUAAGUACACAUCGCCCGUCGCUCUCAUUAUAAGAUGAGAUAAGUCGUAACAAAGUAGUCCUAUCGGAAGAUGGGGCUAGAAUUAUA
RNAcentral lists this non-coding RNA (786 nucleotides) under Tholosanus proximus. Lineage: Eukaryota; Metazoa; Arthropoda; Insecta; Hemiptera; Pentatomidae. The record is from RNAcentral.